Molecule: transfer RNA, 75 nt
Filed under: Ictidomys tridecemlineatus (thirteen-lined ground squirrel)
Lineage: Eukaryota; Metazoa; Chordata; Mammalia; Rodentia; Sciuridae
Description: Spermophilus tridecemlineatus (thirteen-lined ground squirrel) tRNA
Rfam family: tRNA
About the family: Transfer RNA (tRNA) molecules are approximately 80 nucleotides in length. Their secondary structure includes four short double-helical elements and three loops (D, anti-codon, and T loops).
Source: Rfam by way of RNAcentral
GGGGAUAUAGCUCAGUGGGUAGAGUGCUUGCCUCAAAAGCACAAGGCCUGGCAGGUUCAAUCCCCAGCACCACCA